AGCGAACGCUGGCGGCAGGCCUAAUACAUGCAAGUCGAGCGGGUCCUUCGGGAUUAGCGGCGGACGGGUGAGUAACGCGUGGGAACGUGCCCUUUGGUACGGGAACAACUGAGGGAAACUUCAGCUAAUACCGUAUGUGCCCUUCGGGGAAAGAUUAUCGCCAUUGGAGCGGCCCGCGUUGGAUUAGGUAGUUGGUGAGGUAAAGGCUCACCAAGCCUACGAUCCAUAGCUGGUCUGAGAGGAUGACCAGCCACACUGGGACUGAGACACGGCCCAGACUCCUACGGGAGGCAGCAGUAGGGAAUCUUGCGCAAUGGGCGAAAGCCUGACGCAACCAUGCCGCGUGAAUGAUGAAGGUC
Molecule: ribosomal RNA, 359 nt
Filed under: uncultured bacterium
Lineage: Bacteria
Description: bacterial SSU rRNA
Rfam family: Bacterial small subunit ribosomal RNA
Source: RNAcentral